RNAcentral lists this ribosomal RNA (252 nucleotides) under uncultured bacterium. RNAcentral describes it as "partial 16S ribosomal RNA". It matches the Rfam family "Bacterial small subunit ribosomal RNA", at positions 525 to 776 of the family's 1533-position model. The record is from RNAcentral.
ACGUAGGAUCCGAGCGUUAUCCGAAUUCACUGGGCGUAAAGCGCUUGCAGGCGGCGAGGUAAGUUGGAUGUGAAAGCUCCCGGCUCAACUGGGAGAGUGCGUUCAAGACUGCCUGGCUAGAGUACGAAAGAGGGAGGUGGAAUUCCAGGUGUAGUGGUGAAAUGCGUAGAUAUCUGGAGGAACACCAGAGGCGAAGGCGGCCUCCUGGUUCGAAACUGACGCUAAGAAGCGAAAGCUAGGGGAGCGAACGGG